AGCUUUUCGAGUCCAUGCAGUGAUUUCGUCAGACACCAAGCCACUAGGGUUGAUAGGACUUCCAAGAUAAGUGAAAUU
Molecule: microRNA precursor, 78 nt
Filed under: Schistosoma margrebowiei
Lineage: Eukaryota; Metazoa; Platyhelminthes; Trematoda; Strigeidida; Schistosomatidae
Description: mir-3492 microRNA precursor family
Rfam family: mir-3492 microRNA precursor family
Source: Rfam by way of RNAcentral